This 253-nucleotide ribosomal RNA is filed under the name uncultured bacterium. Its description in RNAcentral is "partial 16S ribosomal RNA". It matches the Rfam family "Bacterial small subunit ribosomal RNA", at positions 524 to 776 of the family's 1533-position model. The record is from RNAcentral.
UACGUAGGGUGCAAGCGUUGUCCGGAAUUAUUGGGCGUAAAGAGCUCGUAGGCGGUCUGUCGCGUCGGCUGUGAAAACUCGGGGCUCAACCCCGAGCCUGCAGUCGAUACGGGCAGACUAGAGUGCUGUAGGGGAGACUGGAAUUCCUGGUGUAGCGGUGAAAUGCGCAGAUAUCAGGAGGAACACCGGUGGCGAAGGCGGGACUCUGGGCCGAUACUGACGCUGAGGAGCGAAAGCGUGGGGAGCGAACAGG